GCCUGUGGCUCACUGGUAGAGUAUUUGACUCUCAUGCUAUAGACCCAGGUUCAAGUCCUGGCCCUGCCA
Non-coding RNA from Pangasius djambal, 69 nucleotides. The record is from the annotation of a GenBank genome assembly. NCBI's taxonomy places the organism in Eukaryota, Metazoa, Chordata, Actinopteri, Siluriformes, Pangasiidae.